UCUGCUGAUUUAAAUUGAUGGUCUGACAGAAAUAUUGUUGUGCGGAUUUACACUAAAACACGAAAGAGCCUGAACCGCGACAGUGUCACAAGUUGCCUUACAUCCAUAAGUUUUGUUGUGCUUGUUGCAAACUGUUAAAUUUUGUGUUUUCUGAUCCUAAGCUUAGAAAAAAAGAUGCAAGACUUCAAACUUUCCAGUACUCCUGUGUACUGAUAAUCCGGUUUCCACCCAGUCCCAGGAGAUUAUAUUAAACCUGGAAAAUAUUGGAGAAGAUCAAUUAAGUUUUCAGGAGCACAUUACUGUGAUAAAUGCUGAGCUAUGUAAAAGACAACCUGCUACACCAACAUAUCAAAAAUCGAAUGAGAUGCGCUCUUGUUAAAAGAGUUGAUUUAAUGACAAAAUCAACAUGAGAGGUCAUGGACAUGUUCCCAUUUCUUCGGGUUCCACAAAUUCUGCUGCAUGAAGUGAAGAUGCGGUUUGGGAAGGACCUUCAUCUCAAUCUACAGACUGCUCUUCAAGUUAAAUUAAAUUAAAUUAAAUUCAUGCAUUUAGCAGACGCG
Carassius auratus (goldfish) is the source of this 560-nucleotide long non-coding RNA. RefSeq lists it as uncharacterized. The record is from RefSeq and is a predicted model, not a curated record. Lineage: Eukaryota; Metazoa; Chordata; Actinopteri; Cypriniformes; Cyprinidae. The transcript has 4 exons.